Molecule: ribosomal RNA, 1713 nt
Filed under: Leptospira borgpetersenii serovar Ballum
Lineage: Bacteria; Pseudomonadati; Spirochaetota; Leptospiria; Leptospirales; Leptospiraceae
Description: partial 23S ribosomal RNA
Rfam family: Bacterial large subunit ribosomal RNA
Source: RNAcentral
UGGGAAACGAUGUGGGAAGGCCCAGACAGCCAGGAUGUUGGCUUAGAAGCAGCCAUCAUUUAAAGAAAGCGUAAUAGCUCACUGGUCGAGUCGGCCUGCGCGGAAGAUGUAACGGGGCUAAACCAUGCACCGAAGCUGCGGCAGCGACACUAUGUGUUGUUGGGUAGGGGAGCGUUCUGUAAGCCUGCGAAGGUGUGCUGUGAGGCAUGCUGGAGGUAUCAGAAGUGCGAAUGCUGACAUAAGUAACGAUAAAGCGGGUGAAAAGCCCGCUCGCCGGAAGACCAAGGGUUCCUGUCCAACGUUAAUCGGGGCAGGGUGAGUCGACCCCUAAGGCGAGGCCGAAAGGCGUAGUCGAUGGGAAACAGGUUAAUAUUCCUGUACUUGGUGUUACUGCGAAGGGGGGACGGAGAAGGCUAUGUCGGCCGGGCGACGGUUGUCCCGGUUUAAGCGUGUAGGCUGACUUUCCAGGCAAAUCCGGAAGGUUAAGGCUGAGGCGUGAUGACGAGGCACCACGGUGCUGAAGUGACAAAUGCCCUGCUUCCAGGAAAAGCCUCUAAGCAUCAGGUAACAUCAAAUCGUACCCCAAACCGACACAGGUGGUCAGGUAGAGAAUACCAAGGCGCUUGAGAGAACUCGGGUGAAGGAACUAGGCAAAAUGGUGCCGUAACUUCGGGAGAAGGCACGCUGACAUGUAGGUGAAGCCCCUGCGGGUGGAGCUGAAGUCAGUCGAAGAUACCAGCUGGCUGCAACUGUUUAUUAAAAACACAGCACUGUGCAAACACGAAAGUGGACGUAUACGGUGUGACGCCUGCCCGGUGCCGGAAGGUUAAUUGAUGGGGUUAUCCGUAAGGAGAAGCUCCUGAUCGAAGCCCCGGUAAACGGCGGCCGUAACUAUAACGGUCCUAAGGUAGCGAAAUUCCUUGUCGGGUAAGUUCCGACCUGCACGAAUGGCGUAAUGAUGGCCAGGCUGUCUCCACCCGAGACUCAGUGAAAUUGAACUCGCUGUGAAGAUGCAGUGUACCCGCGGCAAGACGGAAAGACCCCGUGAACCUUUACUACAGCUUGACACUGAACAUUGAGCCUUGAUGUGUAGGAUAGGUGGGAGGCUUUGAAGCGUGGACGCCAGUCUGCGUGGAGCCGACCUUGAAAUACCACCCUUUAAUGUUUGAUGUUCUAACCUGGCGCCGUGAUCCGGCGUGGGGACAGUGUCUGGUGGGUAGUUUGACUGGGGCGGUCUCCUCCCAAAGUGUAACGGAGGAGCACGAAGGUCAGCUAAUCCUGGUCGGACAUCAGGAGGUUAGUGCAAUGGCAUAAGCUGGCUUGACUGCGAGAGUGACGGCUCGAGCAGGUGCGAAAGCAGGUCAUAGUGAUCCGGUGGUUCUGUAUGGAAGGGCCAUCGCUCAACGGAUAAAAGGUACUCCGGGGAUAACAGGCUGAUACCGCCCAAGAGUUCAUAUCGACGGCGGUGUUUGGCACCUCGAUGUCGGCUCAUCACAUCCUGGGGCUGAAGUAGGUCCCAAGGGUAUGGCUGUUCGCCAUUUAAAGUGGUACGCGAGCUGGGUUUAGAACGUCGUGAGACAGUUCGGUCCCUAUCUGCCGUGGGCGCUGGAGAAUUGAGGGGGGUUGCUCCUAGUACGAGAGGACCGGAGUGAACGCAUCACUGGUGUUCGGGUUGUCAUGCCAAUGGCAUUGCCCGGUAGCUAAAUGCGGAAG